Molecule: ribosomal RNA, 368 nt
Filed under: uncultured organism
Description: bacterial SSU rRNA
Rfam family: Bacterial small subunit ribosomal RNA
Source: RNAcentral
CGAAGGAUGCAAGCGUUAUCCGGAUUCAUUGGGUUUAAAGGGAGCGUAGGUGGCCUUAUAAGCCAGUGGUGAAAUCUCUCGGCUUAACCGAGAAAUUGCCAUUGAUACUGUAGGGCUUGAGUAUAGUUGCCGUUGGCGGAAUAUGACAUGUAGUGGUGAAAUACAUAGAGAUGUCAUAGAACACCGAUUGCGAAGGCAGCUGACGAAACUAUAACUGACACUGAGGCUCGAAAGUGCGGGGAUCAAACAGGAUUAGAUACCCUGGUAGUCCGCACUGUAAACGAUGAUUACUCGCUGCUAGAGGGCAACUUUUAGUGGCUUAGCGAAAGCGAUAAGUAAUCCACCUGGGGAGUACGCCGGCAACGGUG